Non-coding RNA from Pelobates cultripes (western spadefoot toad), 157 nucleotides. The record is from the annotation of a GenBank genome assembly. NCBI's taxonomy places the organism in Eukaryota, Metazoa, Chordata, Amphibia, Anura, Pelobatidae.
GCAGUAACAUUCCAGCCAAUCAGCAGCAGACUCUCCCUCCCAGACCCUUCCACCUCCUGGACAGCAUCCAUUGUGAAGCUGCAUUCUUAGUGAGCUGUGCAGGAGCUGGGAGGGUCUGGGAGGGAGGGUCUGCUGCUGAUUGGCUGGAAUGUGUCUG